RNAcentral lists this transfer RNA (85 nucleotides) under Felis catus (domestic cat). It matches the Rfam family "tRNA". From Rfam's summary of the family: Transfer RNA (tRNA) molecules are approximately 80 nucleotides in length. Their secondary structure includes four short double-helical elements and three loops (D, anti-codon, and T loops). Lineage: Eukaryota; Metazoa; Chordata; Mammalia; Carnivora; Felidae. RNAcentral also lists the same sequence under 2 other names. The record is from Rfam by way of RNAcentral.
GCCUGGGUGGCUUAGUCGGUUGAGUGUCUGACUUUGGCUCAGGUCAUGAUCUCACAGCUCAUGGGUUUGAGCCCCACAUCGGGCU